Pygocentrus nattereri (red-bellied piranha) is the source of this 3107-nucleotide long non-coding RNA. NCBI's taxonomy places the organism in Eukaryota, Metazoa, Chordata, Actinopteri, Characiformes, Serrasalmidae. The record is from Ensembl.
AUAUGUUCUCCUGGAUAUAGCAUUAUAUCCAGAUGUUCUUAUGGAAACUGAACCAUAUCUAGAUGUUCUUAUGGAAGGCCUUUGGAGUGAAGACUGGCUUUCUGCAUUGUGACUCAUGCAAAUGCACUGCAUAGGAAACACAGCGUGUCUGCCUUCUUUCUGGUACUGUAGAGUGAGGAGGCAUUUAUCUCUCUGACUCACACGUCUGCCAUCGCCAGAUGAAUGGCCUCUUCUGCUGUCAAUCGUGGAACAAAGGACAGUUUUCUGCACAGCGAAGAGGGAAAUCAUGCUUUUAGACCAUCCAGGCUUGGAGAUAAACUUAGAUCUCUCUGUGCGUUUCUCAUUCCCUCCAUUUGUCUUCCGUUCCACAUUGCUAAUCUAAUGUUGAAUGGUCAAAAGUGUUUUACACAAAUCAGGCUGAUACCACUGUUAAAGCUGUGCACUUUUACUGUGUGCCUACUUCACUUUCUCUGCCUCUUUCUGUUUCCCUCUCUCUCUCUGCCUCUCUCUGUUUCCCUCUCUCACUCUGCCUCUCUCUGUUUCCCUCUCUCGCUCUGCCUCUCUCUGUUUCCCUCUCUCGCUCUGCCUCUCUCUGUUUCCCUCUCUCGCUCUGCCUCUCUCUGUUUCCCUGUCUCUCGCUCUGCUUCUUUCUGUUUCCCUGUCUCGCUCUGCCUCUCUCUGUUUCCCUCUCUCGCUCUGCCUCUCUCUGUUUCCCUGUCUCUAGCUCUGCCUCUCUCUGUUUCCCUCUCUCGCUCUGCCUCUCUCUGUUUCCCUCUCUCGCUCUGCCUCUCUCUGUUUCCCUGUCUCUCGCUCUGCCUCUCUCUGUUUCCCUCUCUCGCUCUGCCUCUCUCUGUUUCCCUCUCUCUCGCUCUGCCUCUCUCUGUUUCCCUCUCUCACUCUCCCUCUCUCUGUUUCCCUCUCUCGCUCUGCCUCUCUCUGUUUCCCUGUCUCUCGCUCUGCCUCUCUCUGUUUCCCUCUCUCUCGCUCUGCCUCUCUCUGUUUCCCUCUUUCUCUCUCUGCCUCUCUCUGUUUCCCUCUCUCGCUCUCCCUCUCUCUGUUUCCCUCUCUCGCUCUGCCUCUCUCUGUUUCCCUCUCUCUCGCUCUGCCUCUCUCUGUUUCCCUCUCUCUCUCUCUGCCUCUCUCUGUUUCCCUGUCUCUCGCUCUGCCUCUCUCUGUUUCCCUCUCUCUCGCUCUGCCUCUCUCUGUUUCCCUCUCUCUCUCUCUGCCUCUCUCUGUUUCCCUCUCUCACUCUCCCUCUCUCUGUUUCCCUCUCUCGCUCUGCCUCUCUCUGUUUCCCUCUCUCGCUCUGCCUCUCUCUGUUUCCCUCUCUCUCGCUCUGCCUCUCUCUGUUUCCCUCUCUCUCUCUCUGCCUCUCUCUGUUUCCCUCUCUCGCUCUCCCUCUCUCUGUUUCCCUCUCUCGCUCUGCCUCUCUCUGUUUCCCUCUCUCGCUCUGCCUCUCUCUGUUUCCCUGUCUCUCGCUCUGCCUCUCUCUGUUUCCCUCUCUCUCGCUCUGCCUCUCUCUGUUUCCCUCUCUCACUCUCCCUCUCUCUGUUUCCCUCUCUCGCUCUGCCUCUCUCUGUUUCCCUGUCUCUCGCUCUGCCUCUCUCUGUUUCCCUCUCUCUCUCUCUGCCUCUCUCUGUUUCCCUCUCUCGCUCUCCCUCUCUCUGUUUCCCUCUCUCGCUCUGCCUCUCUCUGUUUCCCUCUCUCGCUCUGCCUCUCUCUGUUUCCCUCUCUCUCGCUCUGCCUCUCUCUGUUUCCCUCUCUCGCUCUGCCUCUCUCUGUUUCCCUGUCUCUCGCUCUGCCUCUCUCUGUUUCCCUCUCUCUCGCUCUGCCUCUCUCUGUUUCCCUCUCUCUCUCUCUGCCUCUCUCUGUUUCCCUCUCUCACUCUCCCUCUCUCUGUUUCCCUCUCUCGCUCUGCCUCUCUCUGUUUCCCUCUCUCGCUCUGCCUCUCUCUGUUUCCCUCUCUCUCGCUCUGCCUCUCUCUGUUUCCCUCUCUCUCUCUCUGCCUCUCUCUGUUUCCCUCUCUCGCUCUCCCUCUCUCUGUUUCCCUCUCUCGCUCUGCCUCUCUCUGUUUCCCUCUCUCGCUCUGCCUCUCUCUGUUUCCCUCUCUCGCUCUGCCUCUCUCUGUUUCCCUGUCUCUCGCUCUGCCUCUCUCUGUUUCCCUCUCUCGCUCUGCCUCUCUCUGUUUCCCUCUCUCUCGCUCUGCCUCUCUCUGUUUCCCUCUCUCACUCUCCCUCUCUCUGUUUCCCUCUCUCGCUCUGCCUCUCUCUGUUUCCCUGUCUCUCGCUCUGCCUCUCUCUGUUUCCCUCUCUCUCGCUCUGCCUCUCUCUGUUUCCCUCUUUCUCUCUCUGCCUCUCUCUGUUUCCCUCUCUCGCUCUCCCUCUCUCUGUUUCCCUCUCUCGCUCUGCCUCUCUCUGUUUCCCUCUCUCUCGCUCUGCCUCUCUCUGUUUCCCUCUCUCGCUCUGCCUCUCUCUGUUUCCCUGUCUCUCGCUCUGCCUCUCUCUGUUUCCCUCUCUCUCGCUCUGCCUCUCUCUGUUUCCCUCUCUCUCUCUCUGCCUCUCUCUGUUUCCCUCUCUCACUCUCCCUCUCUCUGUUUCCCUCUCUCGCUCUGCCUCUCUCUGUUUCCCUCUCUCGCUCUGCCUCUCUCUGUUUCCCUCUCUCUCGCUCUGCCUCUCUCUGUUUCCCUCUCUCUCUCUCUGCCUCUCUCUGUUUCCCUCUCUCGCUCUCCCUCUCUCUGUUUCCCUCUCUCGCUCUGCCUCUCUCUGUUUCCCUCUCUCGCUCUGCCUCUCUCUGUUUCCCUGUCUCUCGCUCUGCCUCUCUCUGUUUCCCUCUCUCUCGCUCUGCCUCUCUCUGUUUCCCUCUCUCACUCUCCCUCUCUCUGUUUCCCUCUCUCGCUCUGCCUCUCUCUGUUUCCCUGUCUCUCGCUCUGCCUCUCUCUGUUUCCCUCUCUCUCUCUCUGCCUCUCUCUGUUUCCCUCUCUCGCUCUCCCUCUCUCUGUUUCCCUCUCUCGCUCUGCCUCUCUCUGUUUCCCUCUCUCUCGCUCUGCCUCUCUCUGUUUCCCUCUCUCUCUCUCUGCCUCUCUCUGUUUCCCUCUCUCGCUCUCCCUC